Molecule: RNA transcript, 1989 nt
Organism: Salvia splendens (bonfire salvia)
Lineage: Eukaryota; Viridiplantae; Streptophyta; Magnoliopsida; Lamiales; Lamiaceae
Exons: 5
Source: RefSeq, a predicted model, not a curated record
CUAAUGUCUCUCUCACACCUUUGUCUUAUUUACUGUCAUUUUUCAUACACAAUUCCCUUCUCAAAUCAAAACCAUAGAAGCCCAAAGAGACAGCAAAGCUGUACUUGGAAAUUACAGAUUUAGUUGUGAAAGAGAGCUCGCAAUCUAAUUUGAUCCAUAGCUGCUGUAGAUUUAACUAAUCCGUCAGUCGCUAAUUAUGCCGUCAGGUGCGAAGAAGCGAAAAGCUGCCAAGAAGAAGAAGGAGAAUCCAAAUCCGCCCCACAAUCACUCUGAUUCUGCUCCUGCUCACACUCACGGGGAUGAUGCUGAUGUGAAGCACGAGAAGCUUCUGGCCGAAGCAGAGGCCGGAGGUGCUUCUUCCGUGGAAGGAUCUCGAGUUGGGGUGGAGAAGGAUACCAAGAUUGAGGAUGAAUCGGGUGUGAACGAUAGCAUCAUCGACCACAAUGGGGAAAACAGGAAGCCAUAUGGUGGAGGUUCAUCGGGGAGUUGUGGCAGCAGCAGCAGCAGCUCAGAUGAUGAGAACUGUGGAAUCAAGAAAGGGGAAGCUGAGUCUAGCUUUGCUUCCGAGGUAUCAGUGGGAGUGGAUGAUUCUUUAUCUGGAAAGCCAGUUGAGUCUAUUUGUGAUUCAACUGUGGAAAGCAUCUCUGUGGCUCCUCUUGUUGUUGAGUGUACACUAGAGGGGAACGAGGGGAAAAAGCUUGGCUCGGUCGAAGAAAGAAUUUGCACGUCAGUUGAAGAAGCAGAUGUUGGAUCUGCUGAGAUCACUCCAAAAACCUUAGAUCCAAGAGAAUUUGUUACUCAAGAAAAUGAUGAUAGAUCAACACUUCCUAGAGUUGCUUUAGACAAUGGAGCACAACACGUAAAAGAUUCUAACGUUGCUCAGCCGGUGGUGGCUCCUUCUCCGUACCCAGUUCAAAAAACGACGUGGAAGAGUUGCUGUGGAUUGUUUGAAAUGUUUUGAGGGUCUGGUGAUUAAUCAAAAAUUCUGAAACAAAAUUUCGAAGUUGUAGAAUCUUCUUGAAGCAGAAGCAGACAUUGUGGCUGAGGAAAGCUGUGGAGGAUGUCAAUGAAGAUCUCCAUCAUCAAAACAAAGACACCUCCAUGGAUGAGGGCGAUGUAGAAGAGCUGCGUAGCUGACAGGAUUAUGAUGAAAGCUUCCAUUGUUACCUGCAACCAACCAAAAGAACAACCCAUAAGCAAAACGUUACCAUUCAGAAUCUGUAUGUAAAGAUCCGAUUUUUAUUCAUCUCACCAAACGGCUAUUUCUGCCGCUCAAAUCGAUCUGUUUCCACGCAAACCUGUCAAAGAAACAGACACCGUUGGCUCCCGUAAAAGCAAAAGGAAGGAAGAAAGAUGAUUAGAGGAUAAUUAUGACUCACCCCAUGGCGAGAACUGUAAGACUCCAGGCAAUGGUGCCGCCUGCAGCAGCUGCAGGGAGACUAUCCAUGCCCCAGUAACGAAUAUGGUUGAGCCCCGAGAUGGCCGAAGCAACUCCAACAACCCCGGCAAUCAAAGAGAAGAUGACGAAGAAUCCAGUGGCUGCGUUUCCCAUGGGGAAGUAUAUAGGCGAGAAAUGCGCAGGCAGAUCAAAGCCUUUCCCUGUAGGGAGGAAUUAAACAAUGAGUCAGUGAGAAAAAGUGAUAUGAUGUGGGUUGAGUUUUGACACGUGUUACCGAUGAUGAAUCCGUGGUCGAUAGCUCUGUUGAUGCUCCAAGCACCGAUGCCCACAACGAUGGCGUACAUGCAGAAGUUGAGACACAGAAGCAGCAGCGGUAGUUUUUGCAGCGGCGGCGCCAUUCUUGGAUGUGAAACAAGAUUGCUGCAACAUUUCUAAGCGAACGAAGUUUAUAAGCAUGGUGGUGGUCAUGAGUUGAGGGUUCUUUUCUUGUAACGUUGGAUGUAGUAAAAGGUUUUGUGUGGGCUUGUAAAGAUGAUGAUGCUUAGUGUUCACGGCAGGGAAUACAAAAUACCAACAAAUUCAUUUCUCUC